Long non-coding RNA from Photinus pyralis (common eastern firefly), 643 nucleotides. RefSeq lists it as uncharacterized. The transcript is spliced from 3 exons. NCBI's taxonomy places the organism in Eukaryota, Metazoa, Arthropoda, Insecta, Coleoptera, Lampyridae. The record is from RefSeq and is a predicted model, not a curated record.
CGAGAUGAUUACCCAAGAAGAACAUUCGUGCCUGGCGCGAGAGGAGGACUGACCAUUGAUAGCCUCUACACCAACAAAAAUCACAUAGAUCCCUUGUGCGAGGGAUCCAUACAGGGAUACAAAGUCGCCCUGCACCACCCUUCAGAGAUGCCUAACAUGGACAGGUGCUUUCUUCUACCGUUAGAUCAAGUGGUAUUCGUUGGUAUUAAGCCAUCUUUAAUAUCAGUAUCGCCCGAAUUGGUAAACUAUGCUCCUCGAGUGAGGAACUGUUAUUUUACACACGAAAGAUAUUUGGCCAGUUACAAGGGGUACACUCAGCAAAAUUGCAUGGAAGAAUGCCUGGCUAAUUACACUAUGAAACGGUGCAAAUGCAUUCCGUUUUUCUUUCCCCCGUUACACGACAAAAUAAAUAUUUGUGGACCAGGCAGUAGUGAGUGUGUAAGAGAAAGUCAGUGUAUGUUUUAAGAUGAUUGUGACGAUAAACUUUAAUAACUACUUUUUUAAGUGAAGUAUUUGGAAGUCGAACCAUGCGAAUGUUUGCCAUCGUGUACUUCCGUGUCGUACGACGUCGAAACGUCUCAAACAAACUGGCUGUGGAAUGAUGUGUUGGAAGCUUCACAUCCAUUGGAAAGGCUUAUAUAUA